UCAGACUGCACGAGAUAAGUUGGGCAGUCAAAAGGGAAAGAGCCCAGACCACCGGCUAAGGUCCCAAAGUGCGUGUUAAGUGGAAAAGGAUGUGGGAAUUCGAAGACAACUAGGAUGUUGGCUCAGAAGCAGCCAUACAUUCAAAGAGUGCGUAACAGCUCACUAGUCGAGAGUUCCUGCGCCGAAAAUGUCCGGGGCUGAAACACGACACCGAAGCCGUGGACUCGCAAUGCGAGUGGUAGAGGAGCAUUCUUAAAACCGACGAAGCUGUACCGGAAGGAGCAGUGGAGGGAUAAGAAGAGAGAAUGCCGGAAUGAGUAGCGAGAGAAAGGUGGGAAUCCUUUCGGCCGAAUAUCUAAGGUUUCCAGAGUAAAGCUGAUCUGCUCUGGGUAAGUCGGGGCCUAAGCACAGGUCGCAAGACGUAAGCGAUGGAUAACAGGUUUAGAUUCCUGUACCACGCAUUAUCAGAACUGUAGGGACGCAUGUGGAAAGCACGAGCCGGGAAUGGAAAGACCGGUACAAGCGGGGUAGGAGUACAAUAGGCAAAUCCGUUGUAUGAUCCGAAGACGUGAUGUGGAGCGAAAUAAAGUAGUGAAGCGUGUGAGCCAUGUGCCGAGAAAAGCUGCUAUUGUGUAAUGCGUGCCCGUACCGUAAACCGACACAGGUGGAUGAGGAGAGAAUCCUAAGGCCGGCGGAAGAAGCAUUGUUAAGGAACUCGGCAAAAUGACCCCGUAACUUCGGGAGAAGGGGUGCCUGCGAGAGCAGGCCGCAGAGAAUAGGCUCAAGCAACUGUUUAGCAAAAACACAGGUCUAUGCGAAACCGAAAGGUGAAGUAUAUGGGCUGACGCCUGCCCGGUGCUGGAAGGUUAAGAGGAGAGGUUAGCGAAAGCGAAGCUUUGAAUUUAAGCCCCAGUAAACGGCGGCCGUAACUAUAACGGUCCUAAGGUAGCGAAAUUCCUUGUCGGGUAAGUUCCGACCCGCACGAAAGGCGUAAUGAUUUGAGCACUGUCUCGACAAUGCAUCCGGUGAAAUUGAAGUACCAGUGAAGAUGCUGGUUACCCGCGCCAGGACGGAAAGACCCCAUGGAGCUUUACUCCAGUUUGAUACUGGGAUUCGGUACUGCAUGUACAGGAUAGGUGGGAGACGAAGAAGGAUGGACGCCAGUCUGUCCGGAGUCGCUGUUGGGAUACCACCCCUGUAGUACUGGGUUUCUAACCAGUUGCCAUGAACUGGCAAUGGGACAAUGUCAGGCGGGGAGUUUGACUGGGGCGGUCGCCUCCGAAAGGGUAUCGGAGGCGCUCAAAGGUUCCCUCAGAAUGGUUGGAAACCAUUUGAAGAGUGCAAAGGCAGAAGGGAGCUUGACUGCGACACCGACGGGUGGAGCAGGUACGAAAGUAGGACUUAGUGAUCCGGUGGUAUAAAGUGGGAUUGCCAUCGCUCAACGGAUAAAAGCUACCCUGGGGAUAACAGGCUUAUCACUCCCAAGAGUUCACAUCGACGGAGUGGUUUGGCACCUCGAUGUCGGCUCAUCGCAUCCUGGGGCUGUAGUAGGUCCCAAGGGUUGGGCUGUUCGCCCAUUAAAGCGGUACGCGAGCUGGGUUCAGAACGUCGUGAGACAGUUCGGUCCCUAUCCGGCGCGGGCGGAGGAUAUUUGAGAGGAGCUGUCCUUAGUACGAGAGGACCGGGAUGGACGGACCACUGGUGUAUCUGUUGUCGACCAACGGCAUGGCAGAGUAGCCAAGUCUGGAAGGGAUAAACGCUGAAGGCAUCUAAGCGUGAAGCCCCCCUCAAGAUGAGAUAUCCCUCCUAUAAGGAGUAAGACCCCUUGA
Molecule: ribosomal RNA, 1829 nt
Filed under: human gut metagenome
Description: bacterial LSU rRNA
Rfam family: Bacterial large subunit ribosomal RNA
Source: RNAcentral